ACGUGAGCCAAAAUGAAAUUUCC
Molecule: small nuclear RNA, 23 nt
Filed under: Arabidopsis thaliana (thale cress)
Lineage: Eukaryota; Viridiplantae; Streptophyta; Magnoliopsida; Brassicales; Brassicaceae
Description: snRNA_15860
Source: RNAcentral